Molecule: ribosomal RNA, 1372 nt
Filed under: uncultured bacterium
Lineage: Bacteria
Description: bacterial SSU rRNA
Rfam family: Bacterial small subunit ribosomal RNA
Source: RNAcentral
GAUGAACGCUGGCGGCGUGCCUAAUACAUGCAAGUCGAGCGAACGGACGAGAAGCUUGCUUCUCUGAUGUUAGCGGCGGACGGGUGAGUAACACGUGGAUAACCUACCUAUAAGACUGGGAUAACUUCGGGAAACCGGAGCUAAUACCGGAUAAUAUUUUGAACCGCAUGGUUCAAAAGUGAAAGACGGUCUUGCUGUCACUUAUAGAUGGAUCCGCGCUGCAUUAGCUAGUUGGUAAGGUAACGGCUUACCAAGGCAACGAUGCAUAGCCGACCUGAGAGGGUGAUCGGCCACACUGGAACUGAGACACGGUCCAGACUCCUACGGGAGGCAGCAGUAGGGAAUCUUCCGCAAUGGGCGAAAGCCUGACGGAGCAACGCCGCGUGAGUGAUGAAGGUCUUCGGAUCGUAAAACUCUGUUAUUAGGGAAGAACAUAUGUGUAAGUAACUGUGCACAUCUUGACGGUACCUAAUCAGAAAGCCACGGCUAACUACGUGCCAGCAGCCGCGGUAAUACGUAGGUGGCAAGCGUUAUCCGGAAUUAUUGGGCGUAAAGCGCGCGUAGGCGGUUUUUUAAGUCUGAUGUGAAAGCCCACGGCUCAACCGUGGAGGGUCAUUGGAAACUGGAAAACUUGAGUGCAGAAGAGGAAAGUGGAAUUCCAUGUGUAGCGGUGAAAUGCGCAGAGAUAUGGAGGAAUACCAGUGGCGAAGGCGACUUUCUGGUCUGUAACUGACGCUGAUGUGCGAAAGCGUGGGGAUCAAACAGGAUUAGAUACCCUGGUAGUCCACGCCGUAAACGAUGAGUGCUAAGUGUUAGGGGGUUUCCGCCCCUUAGUGCUGCAGCUAACGCAUUAAGCACUCCGCCUGGGGAGUACGACCGCAAGGUUGAAACUCAAAGGAAUUGACGGGGACCCGCACAAGCGGUGGAGCAUGUGGUUUAAUUCGAAGCAACGCGAAGAACCUUACCAAAUCUUGACAUCCUUUGACAACUCUAGAGAUAGAGCUUUCCCCUUCGGGGGACAAAGUGACAGGUGGUGCAUGGUUGUCGUCAGCUCGUGUCGUGAGAUGUUGGGUUAAGUCCCGCAACGAGCGCAACCCUUAAGCUUAGUUGCCAUCAUUAAGUUGGGCACUCUAAGUUGACUGCCGGUGACGAACCGGAGGAAGGUGGGGAUGACGUCAAAUCAUCAUGCCCCUUAUGAUUUGGGCUACACACGUGCUACAAUGGACAAUACAAAGGGCAGCGAAACCGCGAGGUCAAGCAAAUCCCAUAAAGUUGUUCUCAGUUCGGAUUGUAGUCUGCAACUCGACUACAUGAAGCUGGAAUCGCUAGUAAUCGUAGAUCAGCAUGCUACGGUGAAUACGUUCCCGGGUCU